CCGUAGCUCAGCUGGAUAGAGCACCGGCCUUCUAAGCCGACGGUCGCUGGUUCGAAUCCAGCCG
This 64-nucleotide transfer RNA is filed under the name uncultured Phyllobacterium sp. It matches the Rfam family "tRNA", at positions 6 to 65 of the family's 71-position model. Rfam says of the family: Transfer RNA (tRNA) molecules are approximately 80 nucleotides in length. Their secondary structure includes four short double-helical elements and three loops (D, anti-codon, and T loops). The record is from RNAcentral. Lineage: Bacteria; Pseudomonadati; Pseudomonadota; Alphaproteobacteria; Hyphomicrobiales; Phyllobacteriaceae.